This is a non-coding RNA of Erinaceus europaeus (western European hedgehog), 199 nucleotides long. Lineage: Eukaryota; Metazoa; Chordata; Mammalia; Eulipotyphla; Erinaceidae. The record is from Rfam.
UGGUGAUCGCCGCAGAUUUACCCGUCUGUGAGACUGAUCUGUUUUAAGGUAAGAAAGAGCGACACAAUUAUGGGACAAGCAUUGAGCAAGCAUGAUUUAUUUCUUAGGGGCCUCAAAGAGUCCCUCAAGACACGAGGAACAAGGGUUAAGAAAAAGGAUCUCAAAAAGUUUUUCGAUUUUGUGAAUGAUGUUUGUCCAU